Long non-coding RNA from Gallus gallus (chicken), 1618 nucleotides. The record is from Ensembl. Lineage: Eukaryota; Metazoa; Chordata; Aves; Galliformes; Phasianidae.
CCUCCAGGUCUACCCAGAGAGCCCUAGAGGAAGACUGCAGGGACACUGGGAAUCGGGACGGACAUGCAAUUUCUCAGUCUCCUGCUGCACCUCGACUCUCGACAUCGGGGCACGAUCCAUCACGACUUACCCAAACAACCUCCAGCAAGGCGAGACCUCCCCAUGUCUGGGGCCAGUGAGGCAGUGUGUCCCCGCAGGACCAGGCAGCAGUGCUCCCAGGGCACUGUUCUGCACUUUGUCCCAUGCUGUGUGCAGCUCUGGGCCGUGUGCAUCUGUUACUCCAGUGACAACCAAGGGCUUGGUGUCAAGUCCUUAUCCAUGUGGGAUGGGUCAUCUUCACGCAACCACUUCACCUGGACAUGAAUGGACUCUGUCAUGAGCAGAUGCAUGGUGAAGAGCCCAGCCAUCCUUUGGGGCAGUUGGAGAGGCUCUCAAUAUCCUUCCAAAUGACCCUCUCAUCCUUCAGCCCAGGUGACAAAUUCCUGACACCUCCAUCACCCAGCAACCAAAAAACCACCGCUAAUCAGAAGGCUGAUAAUGGAGAUCUUAUGCAAUACUGGGCUCUUGAUUGGGUUUCCCAUUGAUGGAUGAUGAGCUGUCGCUUCAGUGCAGCACGGCACCUCAGAUGGCACCUCUUGAUUUGGAACUCACUGGAGGACGACCUGAAUCUCCACCAGGCUGUGAAAGGUUUGCUCUUCUUUCUUUCUAGCUCUGGCCAUGGAUAUGCUACCCAUAAAUAAAAGCCCAUCAAACAGUCCUUUUCUGUAAAUCCCUUCAUAGCAAUGCCAGUUAAUAAAACUGUUUUCAUGUCACCAGUGCCAUUUUCCAGAAAAGACGGGGCCAAAGAACAACAGUGCCCAUAACACAACCUUUUUUGUUCCGUGAAAGUAAUUAGUUUGGCUUGGACUUUAUGCGCUUGGGGGUUAAUUAUCCUAAAACUGCCCAUGAGCUCCCAUGAUGUGGGGGUAUUUGUGCUGUCAGAGGUGCCAGUUCCUCGGCGAGGCUCUUUACGAGUCCCAGUGUUCGCUAUUUUCCCUCAAUUCUCAGCUUAGUGGCACUGUGUGCUUUCAUAGCUCGUCCCCCACGAUGGUUCUACCCCUCAUGGUUCCAAACGAUGACCCGAGAGCACCCGGGAGCAAAAGGCAAAUAAGGUGCAUUUGUUCACAGCCACUUUAAUCACAAUUUCUACUGCCAACAUCACAAUUUUGCAGAGCCUUCAGUUAAGAUUUUUAAGUUGCUGGUGCCAGCCUGCCCCUACAAUAGAUCUCAACAGCUUUUUUGGGUGAAAGAGGAGCCCACAGAGCCUAUCUUGGUGCAGGCUCUGUUUGCAGCGAUGUGCUUUCCAAGUGCGCAGUCUGUGAAGGUGAGGUCAUGCCAGAGCUGCUGGAGGUUGAGCUUUGGGGUGGAAAGAGGUGAGAACUCCUGAACUUUCACCGCGUGCUAUGGUGGAAAAAAAAAAAAAUAAGAAAACCAAACCAAAGCCAUGUAACCGAAAUAUCUCAUAAACCAUUUUUCUUUCUAUUCUUUCUUUUUUUUAAGUCAAGAAACGGCCAUAGGCAGCUGUUGUAACCAAGCCAAGAAUAAUUUGUGACAGGAAAGUUUGAGCAUUUGUAAAAAU